CCAGAUAGCUGGGAGAUUUUGGUCAUUUUUUUGAGCAAUUCGGCACCUGAUGAUGUUGUUACCAUAGAUAUUGGCACUUCUGCCUUGCUAAAUGAGGAGGUCAGAAGGAAAUUAUCGGGUAUGUUCUCUUUCGAUGCAUUAAUUGUAAAAAAGCAGGGAAGGAGCAUGAAUCACAAGCAAGGAAGGCUUGAUGGUUUAAGAGG
RNAcentral lists this long non-coding RNA (203 nucleotides) under Elaeis guineensis (African oil palm). RNAcentral describes it as "long non-coding RNA (EGUI_LNC011209)". Lineage: Eukaryota; Viridiplantae; Streptophyta; Magnoliopsida; Arecales; Arecaceae. The record is from RNAcentral.